AAGCAUCGAUUUGUGUUCCAGCUCUAGUGCGUCACUUUGUUAAUCAAAAUAUUAGAAAAACUUCAUUUCCGCCUCAAAAGUGCAGCUCGCCAUCGUGCGAAAGUGUUAAUAAUCGCGCGUUUGUUCGGUUAAACUAAAAAGCGCUAAAAGGCGAUGAAAAUCAAGCUAAAAAGCAUCGUUUUUUGUUCUUAAAAUUUACUUACGGCAGCCACACACACUCACGCAGCUCACGGACGCACACACAAACACAUACUUAAGGAAAGCAGCACACACGCACGCGGAGAGAAGAGCAGCAAGAAGAAGCAGACCAUCAAACUUAAAAUUUGCGAGCCUUCGACCGUACAUUCCUUGGCACAGGCAAGUCUUGGCUGAGAGGAGGACGAAUUGCACCCGCCCGGCACACAGCACACAGCAUGUUCAGUGGACAUGGGCGGAUUCCUGGAUAAGCCGAAAACCGCCAAGCACAAUGACCAGGGCGAGGGCAACAAGCUGCUCUUCGGAGUCAGCUCGAUGCAGGGAUGGCGGUCAGAGAUGGAGGACGCCUACUACGCUCGUGCCGGGCUGGGGGAUGACCUGCAGGACUGGAGCUUCUUUGCCGUCUUCGAUGGCCAUGCCGGAUGCAAGGUAUCGGAGCACUGUGCCAAGCAUCUUUUGGACAGCAUCGUCAGCACGGAGGAGUUCAUUGGCGGUGACCAUGUGAAGGGAAUUCGCACUGGCUUCCUGCGCAUCGAUGAGGUGAUGCGGGAAUUGCCAGAAUUCACCCGGGAGACAGAGAAAUGCGGCGGCACCACCGCCGUAUGCGCCUUUGUCAGCCUCACGCAGGUGUACAUCGCUAAUUGCGGGGACUCCAGGGCAGUCUUGUGCCGCCAGGGAGUUCCGGUGUUCGCCACGCAGGACCACAAACCUAUUCUGCCAGAGGAAAAGGAGCGCAUCCACAAUGCCGGCGGCAGUGUUAUGAUAAAGCGAGUGAAUGGCACCCUCGCCGUUUCGAGAGCUCUCGGGGAUUACGACUUUAAGAACGUCAAGGAGAAGGGACAGUGCGAGCAGCUGGUGUCGCCGGAACCGGAGAUAUUUUGCCAGAGCCGCCAGGAUAGCGAUGAGUUCUUGGUGCUUGCCUGCGACGGAAUAUGGGAUGUGAUGACUAAUGAGGAUGUAUGCAGCUUCAUUCACUCGCGGCUAAGGGUAACCAGCGACCUAGUGAGCAUCGCCAACCAAGUGGUGGACACCUGCCUGCACAAGGGUAGUCGCGAUAACAUGAGCAUCAUCAUCAUUGCUUUCCCUGGAGCUCCGAAGCCCACCGAGGAGGCGAUAGAGGCUGAGCAUCGGCUGGAGAAACAAAUCGAGAAGAUCACAAGAGACGAAAUAGAGUCUAGCAAGAUAACCGACUACGUGGAUCUGCUGAAGUGCCUGCAGAACAGAGACGACAUCGAAGGUCUUCCACCCGGAGGCGGUCUGCAGUCCAAAUAUCACGUUAUCGAGCGCACAUUCAAGCAAGAGUUUCCGGAUCGACCAUGUGAACUGUAUGCAUAUGAUGAUAUAUGAAUUUUGUAAUGCUAAUUGUUCAUUUUAAAACCAACCAACAACCAACCAACCAGCAAGAGAACAAAGAUAACUAAACACCCUAUGCUUCACAUACUCUAAAUACUUGACAGUUCCUGCAUGUUUCAUCUCUUUUCAACUCGCUUCCGUUUCCGUUUCUGCCUCCGCUUCAGCCGCAAGUCUGCCUGCAUCCUGUAGUCCAACGCAUUAGGUUGCAGUCGAAACACUAAACAAAACCAGUUAAGCAAAUGCAGCAACCAGAUCAGAUCAGAAAGCAGAGCCACACAACUUGAACGAAGCAAACAAACAAGAACACACACCAAACAGUUUUCUACUUUGAUAAACACAAAAUAAAAACCUACUAAUAAUGAUAAUAAUAAGAAUAACGAUACAUUUAUAGUUUAUACGAAAGCAGUCCUAAACACAACAAAACGAACAGCCAAGCCCCACACAACUCUAAGAUAUAGGAGAGAUCUAGAACAGAGCGUACCUGAGCAGACCUCAGAGAACACGAAAUCGGAUCGGAAUCAGAGGAUAGCUUUUCAGCCAGAGAAAGCAUCACACCCAAAAGAUUACUCCGAUCAGAUCCCUCUGAAGGACCCAACUAUCUAUUUGAAUGUUAGCCUUCUGUUUGCCCUAUCGUUCCGUCACUCCUCAUCAAUCAGCAAUCACCAGUACAACCGCCAGAAAAACUUUUUGAAAACGUGGAAAAAUAAUGUAAUUAAAAACGGAGGACAGUUGAAAGCGCGAGAUUUCCUCGUUCAAAUAUUUGUGUACAAGAACCUUUUUAUUUCAUAUUCAAAAAACCAUGUAUUAACUAUUGAUUCCGAAUGCGGACUUUUGUAAGUUGUAAAAUGUUUGUUACUGAAAACACUUUUUGUUCACCUUUUAUAUGUAUAUGAGAAGAUGUGUCGCCAAGCCUGAAGCGAAACUUAAUAAGGUAAAGUAAAAAACAAAAAAAUGUUUAAAAGAAAACAGAAAAAAUGGUAAAAGAAAACCAAACUAGCAAACAAACCUGUAACUAUCUAUGUACGGAAACGAAAAAGUAAUACCUAAAACCUAAAGUAAGCGAAGCAAAACAAAAGCAAAUCCACAAUAAUGUCCGAUCUUAAAGAAACGAGAAUGAAAACUAUAAACUAUUAAUUUAUAAGAAGCAAGUUGAUGAUGAAAAUCUUAAGAGAGAAAAGCAAAAUUACGCUCGAGUUUGUAGUAAAUGUUGAUAUAAAAAACAAAAA
RNA transcript from Drosophila eugracilis, 2774 nucleotides. It is a transcript of the gene named protein phosphatase 1B, with no coding region annotated. The record is from RefSeq and is a predicted model, not a curated record. The transcript is spliced from 8 exons. Lineage: Eukaryota; Metazoa; Arthropoda; Insecta; Diptera; Drosophilidae.